AACCAGCACCUCAAGUGGUCAGGAUGAUUAUUGGGCCUAAAGCAUCCGUAGCCUGCUUUGUUAGUUUUCGAUUAAAUCUGUGCGCUUAACGUACAGGCUGCCGGAAAUACUGCAAAGCUAGGAAGUGGGAGAGGUAGACGGUACUCGGUAGGAAGGGGUAAAAUCCUUUGAUCUAUUGAUGACCACCUGUGGCGAAGGCGGUCUACCAGAACACGUUCGACGGUGAGGGAUGAAAGCUGGGGGAGCAAACCGGAUUAGAUACCCGGGUAGUCCCAGCUGUAAACUAUGCAAACUCAGUGAUGCAUUGGCUUGUGGCCAAUGCAGUGCUGCAGGGAAGCCGUUAAGUUUGCCGCCUGGGAAGUACGUACGCAAGUAUGAAACUUAAAGGAAUUGGCGGGGAGCACCACAAGGGGUGAAGCCUGCGGUUC
RNAcentral lists this ribosomal RNA (428 nucleotides) under uncultured archaeon. RNAcentral describes it as "bacterial SSU rRNA". It matches the Rfam family "Archaeal small subunit ribosomal RNA", at positions 474 to 903 of the family's 1478-position model. The record is from RNAcentral.